UAGGUACAGAGCAAUGAUUCAGCCUGGAGGUCAGGAGUGGAUAGUGGACCACUAUGACUACCUGUGAAUCCAACAGGGCAGAUCUACGAAACGAGCAGUAAUGCAUGCACUCUGAGCUCCUACACUCAGGGCCGGCUCCAGGCACCAG
Molecule: non-coding RNA, 148 nt
Organism: Chrysemys picta bellii (western painted turtle)
Lineage: Eukaryota; Metazoa; Chordata; Testudines; Emydidae
Source: RefSeq, a predicted model, not a curated record